CAGUAGCCGCGGGAAUACGUAGGGUGCAAGCGUUAAUCGGAAUUACUGGGCGUAAAGCGAGCGCAGGCGGUUUUAUAAGUCUGAUGUGAAAUCCCCGGGCUCAACCUGGGAACUGCAUUGGAGACUGUAAGGCUAGAGUGUGUCAGAGGGGGGUAGAAUUCCACGUGUAGCAGUGAAAUGCGUAGAUAUGUGGAGGAAUACCGAUGGCGAAGGCAGCCCCCUGGGAUAACACUGACGCUCAUGCACGAAAGCGUGGGGAGCAAACAGGAUUAGAUACCCCUGUAGUCCCUGUCUCUUAUAA
RNAcentral lists this ribosomal RNA (301 nucleotides) under uncultured bacterium. RNAcentral describes it as "partial 16S ribosomal RNA". It matches the Rfam family "Bacterial small subunit ribosomal RNA", at positions 509 to 809 of the family's 1533-position model. The record is from RNAcentral.